AAGUCGUAACAAGGUUUCCGUAGGUGAACCUGCGGAAGGAUCAUUAUUGAAUUGUCGAACGGGGUUGUUGCUGGCCUCUCACCUGAUAGGCAUGUGCACGCCCUUCUCACAUCCAUUCACAACCUGUGCACUCUUUGUAGUUCCAAGUGGGGAGGGACCCUCUGAGGUUCCUCGCAUUCUGGUGCUACGUCUCUCUACAAACACUUUUUGUAUAGAAUGUCAACUCGGCGUGUAUGAACGCAGAAUGUGAAACAACUUUCAGCAACGGAUCUCUUGGCUCUC
Molecule: unclassified non-coding RNA, 282 nt
Filed under: fungal sp.
Lineage: Eukaryota; Fungi
Description: partial internal transcribed spacer region
Rfam family: Eukaryotic small subunit ribosomal RNA (bases 1-46)
Source: RNAcentral